Molecule: ribosomal RNA, 465 nt
Filed under: uncultured bacterium
Lineage: Bacteria
Description: partial 16S ribosomal RNA
Rfam family: Bacterial small subunit ribosomal RNA
Source: RNAcentral
GACGAACGCUGGCGGCGUGCUUAACACAUGCAAGUCGAACGGAAAGGCCCUGCUUGCAGGGUACUCGAGUGGCGAACGGGUGAGUAACACGUGGGUGAUCUGCCCUGCACUUCGGGAUAAGCCUGGGAAACUGGGUCUAAUACCGGAUAGGAGCCAUUUUUAGUGUGAUGGUUGGAAAGUUUUUUCGGUGUAGGAUGAGCUCGCGGCCUAUCAGCUUGUUGGUGGGGUAAUGGCCUACCAAGGCGGCGACGGGUAGCCGGCCUGAGAGGGUGGACGGCCACAUUGGGACUGAGAUACGGCCCAGACUCCUACGGGAGGCAGCAGUGGGGAAGAUUGCUCAAUGGGCGCAAGCCUGAUGCAGCGACGCCGCGUGGGGGAUGACGGCCUUCGGGUUGUAAACUCCUUUCGCUAGGGACGAAGCUUUUUGUGACGGUACCUAGAUAAGAAGCACCGGCUAACUACGUG